Molecule: non-coding RNA, 280 nt
Organism: Schizosaccharomyces pombe (fission yeast)
Lineage: Eukaryota; Fungi; Ascomycota; Schizosaccharomycetes; Schizosaccharomycetales; Schizosaccharomycetaceae
Source: the annotation of a GenBank genome assembly
UAUGUUUGAAUUUAGUUACAGAGUAAAUCAAAACCCUUGAAGAGUAAAACUCUAUAGAGGUUUCUUAUUUUCCAAGGCAAGUCAUGCUCUAAAAACAUUUUUAAUAAUAGUUAUUAUGUAUAUAUUCGGAUUUGAAUUAUCUAAAAUGGGCUAUAUUAAAAUAUGGUUCUAAGAUGAUAUACUUUCAAUGAAUCAACCAGUGGUAAUUUCAGAUUUUAUAUAUGCAAACUUACUAACUGAAAACUGUGGAAUUAAGGGAUAGGUGGGUUUAGAAAGUAAA